CUAGGGGUACAGUUCAGAGGUAGAGCACAUGCUUAGCAUGCAUGAAGCCCUGUGUUCAAUCCCCAGCACCAAAA
This 74-nucleotide transfer RNA is filed under the name Marmota monax (woodchuck). RNAcentral's name for it is "tRNA.Ala". The record is from RNAcentral. Lineage: Eukaryota; Metazoa; Chordata; Mammalia; Rodentia; Sciuridae.